Molecule: ribosomal RNA, 337 nt
Filed under: uncultured bacterium
Lineage: Bacteria
Description: bacterial SSU rRNA
Rfam family: Bacterial small subunit ribosomal RNA
Source: RNAcentral
AGAGUUCGAUUAUGGCUCAGGACGAACGCUGGCGGCGUGCCUAACACAUGCAAGUCGAGCGGGGAUUGCGGAAGAGCUUGCUCAGAAGCAAUUCUAGCGGCGGACGGGUGAGUAACGCGUGAGCAACCUGGCUUUCACAGGGGGAUAACGCAUCGAAAGAUGUGCUAAUACCGCGUAAGACCACAGUGCCGCAUGGCACAGGGGUCAAAGGAGAGAUCCGGUGAGAGAUGGGCUCGCGUCCGAUUAGCUAGUUGGUGAGAUAACAGCCCACCAAGGCGACGAUCGGUAGCCGACCUGAGAGGGUGAUCGGCCACAUUGGAACUGAGAGACGGUCCAG